This 660-nucleotide long non-coding RNA is filed under the name Oryza sativa tropical japonica subgroup. RNAcentral describes it as "lncRNA OsAzu_09g0009190". Lineage: Eukaryota; Viridiplantae; Streptophyta; Magnoliopsida; Poales; Poaceae. The record is from RNAcentral.
ACACUGCUGGAUAGUAGCGGUCUAGUUCCAGAAACAAACGCUGAAGCCAUUAGGGUGGCUAGGUCAAGAGGGGUACAAACAAUCAUUGCAACAGGAAAGUCCCGCGCUGCAGUUAUUGAAGUUCUUGGCAAGGUUAAUUUAGUUGGCACAUGUGUCGUUUCAAAAUUGUUAGCUGGGUGCAAUAGCUUGGCACUUUUCUAUGCUAGCAGGGUUUGGUUUGUUAGUUUAAGGCGAGGGGGCCAAAAGUUAUAUCAAAAGAAUUUGGAUAUAGAAGUGUGCAGAGAGGCGCUUCUAUACUCUCUGGAGCACAGAGUUGCCCUGGUGGCCUUCAGCCAGGACGACUGCUACACAACGUUUGAUGAUAAUCCUCUGGUGGACUUUUUCCUGGUGUACCACGAACCAAAGGUGCGGCGGCAUAAGUUUGUGUUCUUAGAAACUCCGGAAGCGAUCUCGUCUAUGCUGAGGCCACACUGGGCAAGGAGGGUUGAUGGAAUGGCACAGGUCAUUCUCAUUCAGGCACAGAGUGAUGUGCUUGAAGUUGUACCGCUCAGGACUUCCAAAGGAAACGGGGUCAUGGCACUAGGCGAUGGAGAAAACGAUAAAGAGAUGCUCCAACUUGCCGACCUCUUGGUGUUGUGCUCUCCAAUGGCUGCGAGGUGA